UACGGGGGGGGCAAGCGUUGUUCGGAAUUACUGGGCGUAAAGGGCUCGUAGGCGGCCAACUAAGUCCGACGUGAAAUCCCCAGGCUUAACCUGGGAACUGCGUCCGAUACUGGAUGGCUUGAAUUCGGGAGAGGGAUGCAGAAUUCCAGGUGUAGCGGUGAAAUGCGUAGAUAUCUGGAGGAACACCGGUGGCGAAGGCGGCAUCCUGGACCAACACUGACGCUGAGUGAGCGAAAGCCAGGGGAGCAAACGGG
This 254-nucleotide ribosomal RNA is filed under the name uncultured bacterium. Its description in RNAcentral is "partial 16S ribosomal RNA". It matches the Rfam family "Bacterial small subunit ribosomal RNA", at positions 524 to 776 of the family's 1533-position model. The record is from RNAcentral.